RNAcentral lists this unclassified non-coding RNA (241 nucleotides) under Cortinarius hinnuleus. Its description in RNAcentral is "partial internal transcribed spacer region". The stretch from base 1 to 46 matches the Rfam family "Eukaryotic small subunit ribosomal RNA", at positions 1786 to 1831 of the family's 1831-position model. The record is from RNAcentral. Lineage: Eukaryota; Fungi; Basidiomycota; Agaricomycetes; Agaricales; Cortinariaceae.
AAGUCGUAACAAGGUCUCCGUUGGUGAACCAGCGGAAGGAUCAUUAUUGAAAUAAACCUGAUGGGUUGUUGCUGGUUCUCUAGGGAACAUGUGCACGCCUUGUCAUCUUUAUAUCUCCACCUGUGCACUUUUUGUAGACCUUUCCAGGUCUAUGUUGCUUCAUUUUACCCCAACUGUAUGUCAUUAGAAUGUUGUGCCAAUAUAAUUUAUACAACUUUCAGCAACGGAUCUCUUGGCUCUC